CCUACGGGUGGCAGCAGUGGGGAAUAUUGCACAAUGGGGGAAACCCUGAUGCAGCGACGCCGCGUGAGGGAAGAAGGAUUUCGGUAUGUAAAGCUCUAUCAGCAGGGAAGAAAAUGACGGUACCUGAUUAAGAAGCCCCGGCUAACUACGUGCCAGCAGCCGCGGUAAUACGUAGGGGGCAAGCGUUAUCCGGAUUUACUGGGUGGAAAGGGAGCGUAGCCGGCACGACAAGUCUGGAGUGAAAUUCCGGGGCUUAACCCUGGAACUGCUUUGGAAACUGUGCGGCUUGAGUGCAGGAGAGGUAAGUGGAAUUCCUGGUGUAGCGGUGAAAUGCGUAGAUAUUAGGAGGAACACCAGUGGCGAAGGCGGCUUACUGGACUGUAACUGACGUUGAGGCUCGAAAGCGUGGGGAGCAAACAGGAUUAGAUACCCCAGUAGUC
Molecule: ribosomal RNA, 440 nt
Filed under: uncultured bacterium
Lineage: Bacteria
Description: partial 16S ribosomal RNA
Rfam family: Bacterial small subunit ribosomal RNA
Source: RNAcentral